UACGAAGGGGGCUAGCGUUGCUCGGAAUUACUGGGCGUAAAGCGCACGUAGGCGGCUUCUUAAGUCGGUGGUGAAAUCCUGGAGCUCAACUCCAGAACUGCCUUCGAUACUGGGAAGCUCGAGUCCGGGAGAGGUGAGUGGAACUGCGAGUGCAGAGGUGAAAUUCGUAGAUAUUCGCAAGAACACCAGUGACGAAGGCGGCUCACUGGCCCGGUACUGACGCUGAGGUGCGAAAGCUAGGGGAGCAAACGGG
RNAcentral lists this ribosomal RNA (253 nucleotides) under uncultured bacterium. Its description in RNAcentral is "partial 16S ribosomal RNA". It matches the Rfam family "Bacterial small subunit ribosomal RNA", at positions 524 to 776 of the family's 1533-position model. The record is from RNAcentral.